RNAcentral lists this ribosomal RNA (460 nucleotides) under uncultured bacterium. RNAcentral describes it as "partial 16S ribosomal RNA". It matches the Rfam family "Bacterial small subunit ribosomal RNA", at positions 338 to 795 of the family's 1533-position model. The record is from RNAcentral.
CCUACGGGCGGCAGCAGUGAGGAAUAUUGGUCAAUGGGCGGGAGCCUGAACCAGCCAAGUCGCGUGAGGGAAGACGGUCCUAUGGAUUGUAAACCUCUUUAGGCGGGGAGCAAUGCCGGGCACGUGUGCCCGGAGGGAGAGUACCCGCAGAAUAAGCAUCGGCUAACUCCGUGCCAGCAGCCGCGGUAAUACGGAGGAUGCGGGCGUUAUCCGGAUUUAGUGGGUUUAAAGGGUGCGUAGGCGGAUUUUUAAGUCAGCGGUAAAAUGUCCGGGCUCAACCCGGGCCGGCCGUUGAAACUGGGGAUCUUGAGUGGGCGAGAAGUACGCGGAAUGCGUGGUGUAGCGGUGAAAUGCAUAGAUAUCACGCAGAACUCCGAUUGCGAAGGCAGCAUACCGGCGCCCGACUGACGCUGAGGCACGAAAGCGUGGGGAUCGAACAGGAUUAGAUACCCCAGUAGUC